This is a long non-coding RNA of Tachysurus fulvidraco (yellow catfish), 342 nucleotides long. RefSeq lists it as uncharacterized. The record is from RefSeq and is a predicted model, not a curated record. Lineage: Eukaryota; Metazoa; Chordata; Actinopteri; Siluriformes; Bagridae. The transcript is spliced from 3 exons.
UUGGUGGUUAAGAAGGAAAUGGAAAGUUCUAGAACUCUGUCAAAAGAACUAACACAGCCACAAAAUUCUCCAUACAGGGUUUCAGCAGAAACCUUAAUGAUCCAACGAACCCUUAAAGAAAUGAGAGCGUGGAAUAAAACGACUCACAACAAGUGUUCAUACGCUGAGAAGACUGGAGUUUUUCUGCAGCUUCCUUUAAAAGGGCCCAGUUCCUCGGAGAUCUACAGCGAAUUGAGGUUUUUGUGGUUACUGAAUUGUAAAAGCAGGACUGCGGUUGCUUCAAGCCAGGAACCUGAACGACCCUGAGGUUAAAGCUCUUUCCUCCACACAGAAAAAGUGCCU